This is a long non-coding RNA of Chinchilla lanigera (long-tailed chinchilla), 670 nucleotides long. RefSeq lists it as uncharacterized. Lineage: Eukaryota; Metazoa; Chordata; Mammalia; Rodentia; Chinchillidae. The transcript has 5 exons. The record is from RefSeq and is a predicted model, not a curated record.
GGGGACGGGACACCUGCGCGGCCACCUCGCCGAGCCUUGCGCCUUGGGGGCAGCCGCUCGCCUCCUGGACGCUCUGAGCCUCAUCUUAGGUUGGGAAUCUUGAACGCACCCCAACCGACCACAAAGAGAAAACAGCCCCCACCCACUCCUGUCUGGCACUUUUUCCUCUUUGUCUAAUUAUGAUGACUUCCAGAAUUCUCUUUUUUAGGAAAAGUCUACCCUCUCCCAGACAAACCCUUCCCUUCGCCUAUCCUCAGGGAUCUGCCUGGAAAAUAAUGAGAAGUCAGUACUCAGACAAUUCCGUUUGCCGCCUCUCGAAAAUAUUCCAGUUUAGAGGGAAUAAAGAAUAAAAGUCCUGUGCUAGGUGAUAAAGUCAGUAUGGCUUGAAGGAUUCUGCCCACUGCCUGUCUACACAACACUCCUGUCCCAGCUGUCUGAAGUAUCUCUUUUCCAAUCUGCUCCUGAACAAAUUGGUUAAACCCAUGAGUGCAGAGCCCCAGAUGCGAAAGGCCACCUGUACUGCAUGUGACUGAAUAACAGAAGACAAUUCUCCAGUUUUCCAGUUCUCCCUUUGCUUCAUUGCUCAGAAACAUGAAAGCCAAAUUUGCUGCUCUUCCCUGGAACCUAUGCAAGGGGCUCACUAUGUAUAGCCCAGGCUGACCUUGAAUUC